RNAcentral lists this long non-coding RNA (4405 nucleotides) under Panax ginseng (ginseng). Its description in RNAcentral is "long non-coding RNA (PGIN_LNC011300)". Lineage: Eukaryota; Viridiplantae; Streptophyta; Magnoliopsida; Apiales; Araliaceae. The record is from RNAcentral.
CCAAAACAAAACGGAACCCAAAUUUAUUGUAUCUCCUCGCACUCUGAACAGCUCGACAAAACGAAACCCUUAUUUCUUCUCUCUCCUCACUCUGAUCAGCCAAAACAACAUGAGACCUUAGUUCGAUUCACUCUCGUCGAUUUAGUCCGGCCAUCUCGUUGAUUUCGUGCGGCUCACCAAACCCAACUGCAGUGCAGAUCUCCUAAGAAAAAUAAAGUAAGAAUCAUUCAUAAAUAGUAUGAAGCUUGCAACAUUCAUUUAGAUAUGUGGACAUUGUUGCUAUUUUAUUGUUUUUUUAAUCUAUAGUGAGUGAAAUUAUUUAAAGUCCUUACAAUUUGCAUAAUAUGUUUCUGUUUUACUGUUUUUAAGAAAAGAAUAAAUUGAAAGUCAUGUUUCUAAAUUAAGUUAUAACAAUGUUGAUACUUGAAUUGUCUACUGUUGAGAAAAUUUGAAGUGGGUUUCUGCAUUUUGUUGCUGUUGGUGUUGAAUUAUGCUUAAAUUUUUAGAUUUUUUUUGUUUUGGUUUUCAAUAAUUGCUUUUAGGUGUUUGAACUAGUUCAAUUCAUGAAAGUUUUGUUGAGUACUAGAGAUUUUCCUUUAUUUUGAGCUGACAAUAGUUUGAAUUCAAGAAUUUUCCUUUGUUUUGAGUUGACAAUAGUUUCAGUUUUAGGGAUUUUCCUUUGUAAACUUUAUAAUUUGUUUAGUGGAGGAUGUGCAUACUUACUGGAGGUGGGUGAUGUAAGGCAGGUUUAACAUUCUAAGGUGUGUUUAUGGAUGUUUUUUUGAGUAUGAAGUAUUUAUUUGUUUUCAAAUAUUUACAGGGGUUAGGAGGUUGAGGAAAUAACCUGGUAUAUGUAUUGGGGUUUAAAUAUUUACUGUAAAUUAUAACUAUUGAAUAGAAAUUUAAUAGUAGCUAUAUAUGUUGAAUGUAGAAAGCAGGGAAAAAUAGAGCUCAUCAAAUAGGAAUUCGAGGUUGGAGCAGGAAGUUUUAGAAAGAUUCAAGUAUUUUGGAAGAUGAUCCUAAAAGAUUAUUUUAGUAGAUAAUAUCAAAUGAAAAUUUAUUUAUCCUAUGUUCUACUUGAUCCAAAAACAUAUAUUUGUGGACAUGGGCUAAACAUGGGCUAAGAGAUGAAAGUUGAGUUUUUGAAAGGAGAAGAGAAAUUUAUUGUUGCUAUUGACAAAAAACAAUCAUGUUAAAUGUAAUUUAUUUCUGCUUGCUACAUUAUUUAACAUCCAUAAUGUUAAAUGUACUUUAUUUCUGCUUGCUACAUUAUUUCUAUUGAGUGUGGACCUAAUCAUUCUUUUAUAUUUAUUCUCAAGGAACUGUUGUUUAUUAUGGAUGCCAUGAACCAUGAAAUAGAUAGUUUUGGGGAUAAUGCAGAAAUGAAUUUAGACUACAUUUACAAUUUUGAAAUAGAGAUGGAGAGGGAUGACUUGAGUGAAGAGGGGUUGGAUGUGAACAAUGUUAAAACUGUUGUGUACUAUCCUAAAGUAGCCGACGAGUUUAUGCCUAAGCUAGGUCAAGAAUUUCAAAUAUUAGACGACGUUUACACUUUUUACAAUACAUAUGCAGUGCAUGCUGGUUUUAGUGUGCGAAAGCAUACUCAGAAAAAAAAGGAGGGAAGCGGUGAGAUUUGUAGGAAGUCGUAUGUGUGUUAUAAGCAAGGAAAGGGCAAACUAUUAGUCAAUGUGGAUGCAAAAAGAAAACAUGGAUCUACCAAAGAAGGUUGUACUGUAAGAAUUGUAGUGGUAAAAAGAAAUGACUUGUAUGUUGUCCAUAACUGAGGAGGGCCAUUGUCACCCAUUGUCAAUCCCACAUAAGAGACAUCUUUUACGAUCGCACUGUAAUGUGUCUGCUGCCCAAAAAUGUUUGAGCCAACAACUUGGCAUGGUAAAUAUACCACAAUGCCAACAAUAUAACUUUCUUGCAGUUUAGGCGGGAGGGAUUGAAAAUAUUGGUUGCACGCAACGAGAUUUGUAUAACUUUGAAAGAGACAAUCGUAAUGAGCUGAAGGGACAAGAUGGCGAUAUGUUGAAUGAGUACUUGAAGUUAGAACAACAAAAGAAUCCUUCAUUCACUUUUACAAUUGACACAGACAAUGAAAAAAGGAUUACUCGUUGUUUUUGGGCCGAUGCAACUUCUAGACGGGCUUAUAGAUUUUACGGCGAUGUUGUCAUUUUUGAUACCACGUACAACACUAAUCGUUAUGGAAUGAUAUUUGCACCACUAAUGGGGGUUAAUAACCAUGGUCAAACUAUUGUAUUUGGUUGUGCUUUCUUAAGUGAUGAGACCAUAGAUACUUUUGUUUGGCUUUUCAAGUGUUUUUUAGAAGCAAUGCCAGGUGAUGCACCUAAGAUGAUUAUCACUGAUCAGGAUCCAGCUAUGACAAAUGCCAUUUCACAGAUCCUUCCCAAGACAUUUCAUAGGUAUUGUAGUUGGCACAUUUUGAACAAAUUUUCAGAGAAGAUUGACUCGGUAAAAUUCAGUGCUUAUUAUAAAGAGUUUUCAGAUUGCAUUUGGAAUUCAGAGACUGUAGAAAAGUUUGACUCCACUUGGGUGGAGUUGUUGGAGAAAAGUGGGUUGAAUACUAAUAAAUGGCUACAAUCAAUGUAUGACAUCCGUUGUAGAUGGGUUCCCGCACAUGUGAAUCAUGUUUUUUCAGCCGACAUGUCAAGUAGUCAACGAGCGGAGAGUUGUCAUUCGUUUUUCAAAAGAUUUGUUUCUAAAGGAAAUUCAUUAGUGGAUUUUAUGAUUCAAUUUGGUCGGGGCCUUCAACAUCAACGACAUGUAGAGUUGGAAUCAGAAAACAAAGAUUUGAUUGAGAGACCGAAAAUGAAAAUUGCCAAUCACUUAAGUCAAAUGGUUGACAUUUAUACAUACUCUAUGUAUUAUAAAUUUGAAUAUGAGUUGUGUGAGACCUUGAAUUAUAAGUUUGAACUUACGAAGGAGGAUGUCAACUAUCAUGUAUAUAAGAUUUGUCGAAGGAAUGUCGACAAGUGUAAUGUAAGAGAAAUUCAUUAUGACAAAUCUUGGGAUUAUGCAACAUGCACUUGCAAAAAGUUUGAGAGUUUAGGAAUCCUAUGUCGGCAUGUACUAGCUUACUUGAAUAAGUAUCAUGUUCUUGACAAGUUGCCUACAAAAUAUAUUUUAAAGAGGUGGACAAAAACAGCAAAAUCAAGUUGUGUAAUUGAUGAUAAUGGUGUGGCGAUAAAAAAGAUGACAAGUCAUACUUGUUCUUGCGGAGUCAAUUGAUUCAACGUUCUUUAGAUUUGAUUGAUAGUGCUCUCACAAAUGAAGAAGCCACAAAUGUAUUAAAAGAAUGUUUAGAUAAUGGAUAUGAAAAGAUCAAGCAAAUUAUUGGGAAGAAUGAUUCCGAAAGAAACAAGGAAAUGAAGUGUGGUGGAAUUAGUGUAUCCAAGACAGUUAACAUGACUUCUACUUAUGAACAUAGUUCUACUUAGUUCCUGGUUCUUACUGAUUGCAUUACUGUUGUUUUGGAUUGGUGUACUUAGCGUUUAGCUUUAAGUUCCUGUGGUAUCUUUUUCCUUAAAAAGGAUUAUCUAGGCACAGAUUGCAUUACUGUUGUUUAGGAUUGGGGGGUUUAACUUCAUGAUGGAUUUUAAUAGUACCAUAUAUAAAUAUUGGUUGCUCUUGCUUCCUGAUGGACUCCUUGUAAACGUUUAAAGUAAGAACAACCACUUGACAACCAGUUGUAUCUUUCUUGCAUAUUUCUUUGCCGUAUAUUUUUUGAGUCAUUCCCACUUUCAAUUAUUUUGAUCCUGUUGCCAAGUGGUGGAUUGAAAUUUUCUCUGUCCUUUCCUCAUUAUUUGUAAUGUUUUAGACUUUCUGUGUUUAGAUUUGAAUUUUUUGGUUUAUGAAGGGCUUAUUUUUUGUACCUUUUGGCUUUUGCUUUCAGAUAGCAUAAUAUUAUUCAAAUGGAGCAAGUUUGUAUGUGAUGUGCCUUUCACCACUCUAAGCUCUUACUUCUACACUGAUAAAAGCUUUUCUUUUUUAUAUGGAAAUUUCCACCCUGGAGUAUAUAUAUGACAUUAUCAUCACUAGAGCUUAUAUAUUAAAUUCAAGUAAUGAAACAAUUGUAUGAUAAUGAUAGAUAUAUAUCCAACUCUAGCUAUAGUUCUGUAAUUAGCUGUAGUUCUAUUUUUCACUUUAUGAUUCUCUUUGUAAGUGCAGUUUUAUUGUUAAAAAUGUGAUUCUGAUAGGAUCAUUGGUGUUACUCUAAAAUUAAUGAGCGGAUUGUGAUUACGUAGCUUUUCAUUUGUACAAGAACUUCAAUACAUUAAGCUUGUUAACCAAUGUUUAUGUGCUUGAUUAGGCUACUGCUUAUUGCAGAAAGGAACAUUAUUAAACCAUAUUUCACUUAUUUUCAAUGUAUUUAAAUGAACAG